RNAcentral lists this long non-coding RNA (6638 nucleotides) under Malus domestica (apple). Its description in RNAcentral is "long non-coding RNA (MDOM_LNC019886)". Lineage: Eukaryota; Viridiplantae; Streptophyta; Magnoliopsida; Rosales; Rosaceae. The record is from RNAcentral.
UCCUUGUGGACCUUCAACCCAUGCCGAACCCUAGGGCCUAAUCAUCUAAAAUCUGCCAUGUUAAACCCUAGCCCAUUCCUCCUAAACCCAAGCCGCACCUAACCCUAGCCCAAUCUGAUUUAUUUAGGGUUUUAGGUGUCUAUAUAUAUGUAUUUAGGGUUUCCUACUUAUUUGUGUAUGUUGAUUGAGAGUGCACGCUUAGUUUCAUGCAUGAAUAUAAUGCUAGAUUAUGAGGGAGUUUCACCUAAUAGUUAUAAUCUUAUAAUCACAAGUAGUGAAGAUCGCUUGAAAACGAUCGCGUUGAAUGAAUUCUUAGCAUAAGUUUCAUGCAAUUCAUAGUAACAAAUGCUUCGUCAAUGCUUAUGUUUUUGAUAGGAGCAUAUUUAUGCGCCUUAGUUAGUUAGUUCUUAUGCAUUUAUGUUGUGUUUUCUUAGUUAAGUUAGUCUUUUAAGCUAUUUUCAUGUGUUUUCAGGUUUUAGAGACAAAGUGAGCAAAAGGAUGUAAUUUGGAGCAUUUUGGAGCAAAAUUGGGCUAAAAUGGAGUUCAUGCACAUGGGGCACAAGGGAUGGACGAAUUUGAGGAAUUGAUGAAGCUUGGAAGGCGUUUCAAAGUUGAAGAAUUGAAGAUACAAAGUUUCCUAGUUGAAGUAGGAAAGGGCUUACAUGAAGGAUUCCUAAAUGAAGAAGGAUUCCUAAUCAAUGUAGGAGUCCUAAUUGAGAUGGAUUCCUAGACGAAUGAAGUUUCCUACUCAAGCAAGUAUUCCUACAUGAAGAAGAAGAAUUAAAGCCAAAGAAUCAGCUCAAGAGAAGGAUCUUAUCCAAAACCUCAUCCAUAACCUUAUCUUAGCUUAUCUUAUCCAAACAAACCUUAUCCUAUCUUAUCUUAUCCUAAUCCUAAAUUAUCCACAUUCCAGCCACUUAGGAGGGUUUCUAACUAGAUUAGGAUGCUUAAAAUGGGAUUUCUAGAAGACCUAAUCCUUUCCUACAAAGGUGCCACACCUUAUCCCUUGUUUUUCUAGAAAUCAGCCACAAAAUAACCUUUCUAGAAGGUCUUAUCCCUUCUCCUACAAAAGUGACGCCCCAAACCUUUCUAGGACUCCUAGAAACCUGAUUAUUCCUUUCCUCCUUGGUUUCUAAAAGCCUUAGCCUUUUCCUUCAAGGAUUGUGUGUUAUUAUCCUAUACAAAUUAGGCUUUUAAAUCCUUUUCCUUUGCUACAUAGGGGCUGCGAAUUUCAGCCUAUAAAUACCACCCUUUGCUGCACCAUUUAGUCACCAUCUCUACCAUAUUUUCACUACACCAUUCACCCAAACAUCCCUCAUUGUGUCGUGAGUUUGCAAGGAAAAGAAGGAAGAACUCUUGGAGCCAUGCAUGCCAUUCAAGGAGCUUGGAUUGUGGAGCGAUUCUAGGUGUUUUCUAUCUUUGUUAGAAUGUUUAAAUUUAUUUAUCUUUGUUUAUUUGCGAACAUGAGGAACUAAUUUCUUUAUAGUUAGAGGGGAAUUCAAAGCCAUGAUCAUAUGUUUUAUAUGACUUGAUUACCUCCAGUUAUGAUUUCAUGAAUCGUGAAUGUGGUUUACUUAUCUAUUUGAUUGAUAACUUGUUCUUGUGUGUUAAUUAAGGAUGCAUACUUAGUUCGCAUGCAUGAAUUUGAUGCUAGAGUAUAAGGGAAUUUCACCUAAUCGUUAUUAACUUAUAUUCAUAAGUAGUAAAAGUCGCUAGUCACGAUUGUGUUAAGUAAAUCCUUGGCAAAAGUAACAUGCGUAUCCCAUAGUUAUGAAUGCUUCGUCAAUGCUUAUGAUUUCCAUUGAACUUAAUGAUCUUUGAUAUGUGUCUCUAUCAUGCGUAUUCCAUAGUUAGGGUCCUUGAUAAGAAUAAUUUGGUUGUAAUGCGUAUCCCAUUCAAUUCAAUGAAUCUAGGGAAAUCUGAGAAUUAAUUGUCAAUCUAGUUAAUUUGGGGCAUUGUCAUUCAUGGUUUGUUGAAAGAGUAACUGGAAAUCGAGUAGUAUGUAUAUGUUUCAUGUGUGGAGAAGGAACCCUCUAACUAGCCUUUCACCAUCUUAAUUUCCAUCAAAUCGUUUUUGUCAAGUUUGUUUUCAAAGUUUCUGUUUUAAAAGUUAAAUUCGUCAAAACCAAACCCCUUGCUUUUAAAUCUUGUUUUUAGAGUCAAAACUUGUUUCUUUUAAGUCUUUUGAGUCUUUGAAGUUCUAUUUUCGUCCAAAUCACUUGUUAGGUCUAGAAUUGAGUUUUUUUUUUAUUGUUUCUUGCUGUUUUUAGUGUUUUAAAGUUAGUUUUGAGUCUAUAGAGUCUAGUUUAGUGUUUUUGAGUCUUAUUUGUGUUGAUUAGCAUCCCUAGUUAAUCCCCGGUUUAGAACGAUCCCUACUUGCUUAAAUACUACAAUUGUCAUCAAUAGGGUUUAAUUUGUGGGUCAAUAUAAUUUUCACAUCAAAUUUUGGCGCCGUUGCCGGGGAUUAGCAAAAUUGCUAAUCCCCCUUUGUUUCUUUUUCGUGUCUUUUGUUUUUCGUUUCUGAUUUUGUUUCAUUUAUUUUACUUUUGAUAUUUGAUUAAGUUUUCUUUCUUUGAUUUCAGGUUCUAGCGAAGUAAGACAUGGAUUUUGCUAACAUUCAAGCUCAAUUAGCGAAUCUUACUUCUCAAUUAUCACAGAUUGCCGGAAGGACUACAAUGCAAAGUGUCCCUACAUUUGGUGUGUCUUAUGGGCACGGAUAUCAAACUCAUCAACAUCCUCAAUUCACUGUGAACGAAGAUGCUUGGGGUUAUCAAGGCUAUGAUCAACCAAGCAACAACAUGUUUUCCAACACUUACAAUUCGGCUUGGAGAGAUCAUUCAAAUUAUAUGUGGGGGGAACCUCAACAAUUCCAACAAGAUGGAUAUUGGCAGCAAGAGGAGGAGUUCUAUUCAAGACCUAUGCAAUAUGCCCAAUCAAACUCAGGUUCGUCAAUAAAUUAUAAUCAAAUUCUUAAUGAAUUAAAUUGUUUGGUGCAGGGCUCACAAAAUCAAGCCAAUAAGGCUCAACAAGAUGCAUAUUGGCAGCCAUAUGAGGAGUUCUACACCACACCUAUACAGCCACCACCGCAUACCCCACAACAAUUCCAAUCAAAAUUCAAGUAUGUCCAUGGAUAGUGAUCAAAUUCUUCAAGUACUAACCUCUUUGACGCAGGACCAACAAAAUCAAGACAAGAAGUUGGAUAAAUUGAAGAGUCAAAUGGGAGAGAUUAUGGAAUUCAUGGUACAAAUUCAAGAGCAAAGUGAACUCUCCAACUCAACUGUUGAAAAUUCGAAGGAAGAUUUUGAAAUCCACGAUGCUAUCACUUUGGGAAGUGCUAUGGAAGUUGGAGCUGGCCUAAAAACGUCCAAACAUAGCCUAGAAGUGGAUGAGGAGGAGGAAGCAGACAUACACACGGCAAGGGUAGAACAACCCUUGCCGCAGCCCCUUAAGCCCUCUAGCCCACCCACCACAAGUAAGGACGUCCUAAUUUCAUUUCAUUCUAAUGUUAUUCCUCCGAAUGUCCCUUUUCCUAGCAGGUUUUUGAUUCCCAAGAAAGAAGAGAGUGAAAAAGACAUCGUGGAAGCCUUCCCAAGUGUGCAAAAUGAUAUUCCAAUUCUUGGCACACCCACUCAAGUACCAGAUUGUGUUGAAGGGUUCAAAGAACCUAGUUCACCACAAAGAAAGAGUCAAGAAAAAGAAGUGGCUGGUGAAUUUCAAGAAUUCAUUAAAGAGCAUGUAAUUGAGACAACCAUCCCCAAAGAAGUUGAGUUUGAUGACACGGGACAAAUCACAACCAUCGUAGUACAUCUAGCCAAAUUCAAAGUCCCUGAAACUUUCAAAGAAGUGGCACCCACGUUAGAAUUUAAACCAUUUCUGGAUCAUUUCAAGUAUCACCGUCCAUUCAAAGAUCAAUUCCAUGUCAUGGCCACCAAUGGAGCUUAAUUGGAGGUAUCGUCCGGCUGGAAGACGUUAAAGCAAGCGCUUCUUGGGAGGCAACCCAUGCAAAUAAAGAAGACCUAGGAAGCUCCGGCAUCACAACCAGAUUUGCGUUCCUAAACCCUACUCUUUAUUGCUUUUACUUUGCCAUAUUUGUCAUGUUUGCUAGUUGUGUUAUUUGCGUGCUUUUGUGUGAGUCUAUGUUUGAAACAUUGAGGACAAUGUUUGGUUUAAGUGUGGGGGGGUAAACAAAGUGUUUUUGUGUCAAAUUCGUAGGAUUUUAUCACCUAACAUUUCAAAGGUUGUUUUUCAUCGUUUUUAAGUGUUUUUAGAAAGUUUUGAUGUGUUUUAUGUGGCUUUACCAGAAAAUCCGAAAAUUCAAGAAAAAAAAUAGAAAAAGUUUUGAAAAAAAACCUAAAAAGAGUCGUUUUAAAAGUUGUUUUUGUGUGUUUGUGUCGUAGAGUACCUUCCAACACAAUGAUGAGGAUUUGGUUUUUAAUUGCAUGACCGUUAAAGAAAGUUACAAACAUGGAUGGAAGUUUGAUAUGCUCUUUUGUUUAUGCUUGGUCAUCGUUGUUGUUUACGAAUUCACAUAUAAUCACAAAGAAAGAAAAAAUCAGUUUUUGUAACAUGCUUGAAGGAAGUAACUCAAACUAACGCUACAACCUUGUGAGACUUGAGCCUAAACGUUUAUUUGGAGAGUUAAUAACCUUUGAAUUUGUUGUUUUCUAAAGUCGUUGCAUGAUCUCAUCAUUCUUUGCUUGGUUGCUACUUAGAAGGCGUGUCAUCAUUAUAGAUCCAAAUAUUAGAACUCAUACCCAUUUCAUUCAAAACUUAAAAUUGAGUGCAUAACAUAUAACAAGAUGAAGUGUUUAGUAGUUAUCACCAGAGCCAAAAAGCCUUCAACCCAUGCAUUUGUUUUUUGUAGGAUUAACCCCUUUGAGCCUUAUUUAGCCUAUUUUUGUUGUUAGCCACAUUAUCCGUACCUAGCCUAGAGUAGGACUAUCCAUACCCUUGUUCUUAAAGGAUAAUAAAGCAUGACUUAGAGGGAAUUCCUUUUGAUCAAUGUGUGCAGAAAACUAAGUGUGGGGGAAGGGAAAGUUUGUGUGCCAAAAGAAGUAAGGAGGGCACCGGUAGAAAAGAAAAAAAAAAAAAAAAAUUCGUGGAAAUAAGAAAAGAAAAUAAAAAGUGUGUGAAAAGAAAGAAAAAGAGUUGAAAAUAAGUGAGAAUUAACUCACAUGUGUUGGUUGUUGGAGAAAGGGUCCAAAAAGAUUGAAUUUGACCCUAAGUGUUGCAUGAGUCUUCCCCUUGAGUUUAAACAUUGAUUUUUGCAUGCAAAAGUGAAUUCUAAGUGUCAAUUUCAUUACUUUGCUUAUUAUUCUUUAAGAAUGUUUGUUUAUCCUUACCUUUCUUUGUUAGCCAAUACCUUAGCCCCGUUACAACCCUUUGCUUCUAUCUUGAUUGUUAUGUGUUUCAAUAUGUGGAGUUUGGAAUUGGUAUGAGCAUAUGUUAUCCCUGGUUCUCGCAUCUAAGUAGUAGCAUUCCAUUCAUGAGAUUGUAUACAUACAUUCAUAAUUCCAGAAAAUGCUUUUAUUGUCAUAACAUAUAUGUGAGCAUUCGUUUUCAUAUUUACAUCAAUCUUCUCACAUAUAACUAGUGUAGGGUGUGUAGUCAGAAAAUCUAAGUGAAAACAAGAGUGUAUAUCUAGUGAGGAAUUGAGGGAUUCUCUAAGGCAUGUUACUACAUUCAAAACAUUGUUUUAAUUGAUUAAAUGUGAGCUAGUAAGUGAUGACUAUGAUUAAGUAUGUGCUUAAGUGUAAAGAUGGCUAAAAUCUAUGUGGAGUAGUAAUCUUUGGCGUGUCAUGUACCAUUGGAAAUCCCUGAGGCGAUUGUUGGAAGGUUUAGGUUAUGUUUUGUUUCGUUGUUUUGCUCGAGGACUAGCAAAAGCUAAGUGUGGGGGAAUUUGAUAGGAGCAUAUUUAUGCGCCUUAGUUAGUUAGUUCUUAUGCAUUUAUGUUGUGUUUUCUUAGUUAAAGUUAGUCUUUUAAGCUAUUUUCAUGUGUUUUCAGGUUUUAGAGACAAAGUGAGCAAAAGGAUGCAAUUUGGAGCAUUUUGGAGCAAAAUUGGGCUAGAAUGGAGUUCAUGCACAUGAAGCACAAGGGAUGGACGAAUUUGAAGGAUUGAUGAAGCUAGGAAGGUGUUUCAAAGUUGAAGAAUUGAAGAUACAAAGUUUCCUAGUUGAAGUAGGAAAGGGCUUAAUGAAGGAUUCCUAAAUGAAGAAGGAUUCCUAAUCAAUGUAGGAGUCCUAAUUGAAGAUGGAUUCCUAGACGAAUGAAGUUUCCUACUCAAGCAAGGUUUCCUACAUGAAGAAGAAGAAUUAAAGCCAAAGAAUCAGCUCAAGAGAAGGAUCUUAUCCAAAACCUCAUCCAUAACCUUAUCUUAGCUUAUCUUAUCCAAACAAACCUUAUCCUAUCUUAUCUUAUCCUAAUCCUAAAUUAUCCACAUUCCAGCCACUUAGGAGGGUUUCUAACUAGAUUAGGAUGCUUAAAAUGGGAUUUCUAGAAGACCUAAUCCUUUCCUACAAAGGUGCCACACCUUAUCCCUUGUUUUUUCUAGAAAUCAGCCACAAAACAACCUUUCUAGAAGGCCUUAUCCCUUGUCCUACAAAAGUGACGCCCCAAACCUUUCUAGGACUCCUAGAAA